CCGUGGUGGGCGCUGGGCCGGGUCCUCCAAGCCCCCGGGAGCAGCAGGGGGGCGGGCCCGUGAGGAGCCUGGUGCCUGCGAUGGGACUUCAAGUCCUCACUGGGUGGGGAGCGAGUUAUGACAACCUCCUCCUGGGCUUAUCCAGGAAGAUGAGGCUAAGCCCAAAGACUGCAUACGAG
Cebus imitator (Panamanian white-faced capuchin) is the source of this 179-nucleotide long non-coding RNA. RefSeq lists it as uncharacterized. The record is from RefSeq and is a predicted model, not a curated record. NCBI's taxonomy places the organism in Eukaryota, Metazoa, Chordata, Mammalia, Primates, Cebidae. The transcript is spliced from 3 exons.